CCUACGGGAGGCAGCAGUGGGGAAUAUUGCACAAUGGGGGAAACCCUGAUGCAGCAACGCCGCGUGAAGGAAGAAGGUUUUCGGCUUGUAAACUUCUAUCAAUAGGGAAGAAAGAAAUGACGGUACCUAAAUAAGAAGCCACGGCUAACUACGUGCCAGCAGCCGCGGUAAUACGUAGGGGGCAAGCGUUAUCCGGAAUUAAUGGGUGUAAAGGGAGAGUAGGCGGCAAGGUAAGCGAUAUGUGAAAGCCUUAAGCUUAACUUAAGGAUGGCAUAACGAACUAUCUAGCUAGAGUACAGGAGAGGAAAGCGGAAUUCCUAGUGUAGCGGUGAAAUGCGUAGAUAUUAGGAAGAACACCAGUGGCGAAGGCGGCUUUCUGGACUGAAACUGACGCUGAGGCUCGAAAGCGUGGGGAGCGAACAGGAUUAGAUACCCGUGUAGUC
Molecule: ribosomal RNA, 443 nt
Filed under: uncultured bacterium
Lineage: Bacteria
Description: partial 16S ribosomal RNA
Rfam family: Bacterial small subunit ribosomal RNA
Source: RNAcentral